This is a long non-coding RNA of Ictalurus punctatus (channel catfish), 2946 nucleotides long. RefSeq lists it as uncharacterized. The record is from RefSeq and is a predicted model, not a curated record. NCBI's taxonomy places the organism in Eukaryota, Metazoa, Chordata, Actinopteri, Siluriformes, Ictaluridae. The transcript has 3 exons.
ACUACUUGAUUAAAAGGAGGGAAGUUUACUUCCUGACCUCACAACGACCCGUGUGCGUUACGCAUUAUCCAAUAAAAAUUUGGAGUUGUCCCGGAGGACAGCUGUGAUUGGCAACCAUGAACAUGAGCGGUAGGAAAUGAAUGGAUUGAAAUACAUGAGAAUGUUUUAUAUUUUUAACGUUAUUAUUUUUUUUUUAAUUAAAGAUUUGUCUGCGAGCCAGAUGCAGCCAUCAAAAGAGCCACAUCUGGCUCGCGAGCCAUAGGUUCCCGACCCCUGCUCUAAACAGUAAAACGAAAUCCGAAAGUCGGGUUAUGGCGGAGUGUAGUUUUUUUUGACUGCACUAAUAGUUCGUAAACACCACACAGGAAGUAGGAAAAGAACUACAUUUCCCAUCUGCCCUGGCUGUCACAGGCUAAUAGCACCAGCUGCUUUCCAUUGCUCUAAUGAGUGAUUCUACUGCUGCAACGAGACCAAAUGCAACGAAAGUAUUGAUGCUGCAAAAGAAGACGGAUCUUUUGGUAGGCUGGUUAAUGAUGACCACAAGCACCCAAAUGGCAGAAUGCAGAAGACUGAAGUGGAUGGAAGCCCACAUCUUGGUCUGUUUGCUUUAACAGACUUUAAAGAAGGUGAUGAAAUUACCUACAAUUACGGAGGAGGAGACUGGCCUUGGCGUAGCAAGGUAAAACAUCUACUCUGAAAAAGAGGAAGGCUCGGGAAGGAAAUGAGGUCCAUGCAGUGGAGAGACAUAUGAAGACCUUCAUCAUGUCAUGUCGUGUCCCAGGGAAGUUGGUCUGUGAAAACUGCAUUAGAUCUGAGUCUUUAUAUCUUAAAGAUAGAGACUGGCAAAGUGUCAAAUUCUACGUCUAUAACUGCACUGUAGCUUACAAAAGAGAUAUAAACAAAGAUUAAUUACCACUUUGAUAGUAACACUUUACAUCUAUAUUACAGAUACUGUACAUCAUAACAUCUGUAGUAAUGCUUUAAUAAUAAGUUACAUUACAUCUCUAGCCUUUUACUUUGUAAUGAAACACUCAGCAUUUACUUCAUAAUAAACUAAUCAGGAACAAAUCAGGCAUUUAAAAUAUCCAUUAGAAUCUUUACCUACACCGUUAUAUUGAAUUAGAUCAAAUUGGUUUGGGCCGCCUUCUUCCAGUGGGUCCUUAUGCAGGUGACUGACAAGUUCAUGAAUAAGCCUAUUGGGCAAUAAAAGCUUCCGUGUGCUACCCAUUUACAUGUUUAGGCUGCCUGGAAUCAAAAUUAGCUACCUCAACAUACAUUAUUAAGUUGUUACUGUCACUUUUUAGCUUAGUCAGUUAAGUGGAUAUAGAAUAAAGAAAAAAAAUUAUGUUUAUGACAUUUGGUUGUGUGUCUGUGUUUGGCUAGUAUCUAUAUUUUUCUCAAUAUGUUUAACUUUGAGCUGGCUAUAUGUAGUAAGCACAAGUGUUAUGUCAAACUUAAAUGAGUCCAAGUUCAUUCAUGGCACAUGUGAGCUUAGUAGUUGUGCACUUUAAUGGGCAAAUAUUUGUUGUCUUUUACAGUAAAGAAGCUCAAGACUCAAGUUGUCUUUAUAAUGUUGAAUAGACAGGGUUUUUUCAUCUUACUGACAAUUUUUCACUUGAUUAGAGAUCCAGACCAAUAAACAAAUCCUUCAUGCAGCUAAAAUAUCAAAAGGAUGAGUUUCUUUGUCAUUUUGACUUGCCAAAAUGACUGGGGAUAGUGUUAAUUUGUGAUGCAUGCCUGUGAUAAAUAAGUGAGGUUCAGUACAGCAAGCACCUCUACUUUCUAUUCCACAAAAAAUUGUAUACUUUGGAGCAGGAAAUGAAAUGCUUCUUAGAAUUAUAGCCUCAAAACUAAUAAUAGCACUGGUAACACCUUCCUUAACAAGUUCCUAGGUUUCUCAAAAGGUUCCUCUGUUGGAAAUAGAAAGCUCCAAAGAAAUGUAGUCUGUUAUCUAUUACGUGCAGAUAUUGAAAUUUGUGUAAGAGAGCUUUUUGAUAACCAAACUUUCACUGAUUGCAUAUUUCACAAAUAAGGCUAAGAGUCCUUUGUAUAAACAAUUAAGAACAACUGUUCAAUUUAAUUUCAUGAGAAGCUUAAACCUUCAAAUAGAGAAAAUACACAUCAUAUCUGCUUUACAGACAGCCCUCUAAAUUGGACAUACUUAGUUUGUAAUUUUGUAUAAAUAAUUAGAGUUAAAUUGACAACUUUGUUUUUUAAAACCAUGUCCCCUUGUUGAACUACCUGAUCUGUGUGUAUGCAGAUUAACUAUGUAGUGAUGUCCCCUCUACAACAUGAAAACCAGUUAAUUUUCUGUGUAUGAAAAUUAGCUAUCUAGUGAUGUCCCCACUACAACAUGAAAACCAGUUAAUUUGCUGUGCAUGCAAAUUAGGUCCCCAUUAAUGAUGAGUUCUUGUUAUGUCCACAUUAGGUGUGAAAAAACCAAGCACAGAAAUUUUGAGAUUUAAAUCCAGAAUUUGAGAUGAUAUGUGUUCUCAGGCUUAAAUUAUACAUGCCUGACUUUUUUCACAUCUGUAGGACCUCAGGAAAGUGGUGUCCCCACAAUACAUGGGUGGGACUACUGACCCCAGAAUGUUAUAAUUACAAGAAUGUCUGUGUGUGUGUGUGUGUGUGUGUGUUAAAGGUACAGGAGCAGUCUGGCUGUGCAGCUACAGUAAAUGUUAAUAAUAAUAAUAAUAAUAGGACGUUAUUUAAAAGCUCAUACAGCUGAUGUGAUUUUUAUUUAGUAGUUAAUUUAACAUGCUAUGCUAACAUGUAAACAAUAAGAUAAUAUUACCUGACGUACAUUUUACACUCAAUAUUGUCUGUUUCUGUUCUAUUUCACCAACAAAAAUAUUUCCAAACAAAGCCACAGCAGGUCCUGCUCCUUUUUCCUCCUAAUUCCCUCAUUUCUCCACGUUGGGAUUAAUAAAGUAUUAUCGUAUCUCA